This 253-nucleotide ribosomal RNA is filed under the name uncultured bacterium. RNAcentral's name for it is "partial 16S ribosomal RNA". It matches the Rfam family "Bacterial small subunit ribosomal RNA", at positions 524 to 776 of the family's 1533-position model. The record is from RNAcentral.
UACGUAGGGUGCAAGCGUUGUCCGGAAUUAUUGGGCGUAAAGAGCUCGUAGGCGGUUCGUCGCGUCGGCUGUGAAAACCCGGAGCUCAACUCCGGGCCUGCAGUCGAUACGGGCGGACUUGAGUGUUGCAGGGGAGACUGGAAUUCCUGGUGUAGCGGUGAAAUGCGCAGAUAUCUGGAGGAACACCGGUGGCGAAGGCGGCAUCCUGGACCGACACUGACGCUGAGGAGCGAAAGCCAGGGGAGCGAACCGG